This is a long non-coding RNA of Choloepus didactylus (southern two-toed sloth), 2595 nucleotides long. RefSeq lists it as uncharacterized. The record is from RefSeq and is a predicted model, not a curated record. NCBI's taxonomy places the organism in Eukaryota, Metazoa, Chordata, Mammalia, Pilosa, Megalonychidae. The transcript has 7 exons.
GCGCGGGGCGGGGCGGAGCCGGGGAUGGGCGAGGGCGCUCUCGCGGGGUCCGCCUCCUGGUGGUCACCCGGACCAGCGAGCCCCGCCCGGGGGCGUCCUUCGUGUCCUCUAGGCCGGUUUCGGUUUUCAGACUCGCUGCCUCCGCUUCGCGCUACGUGGGUGUCGCCCACACCCGGGGGGCAGCCGCGUGCCGUGUGGCUGCUGCCCCUCCUUCGCAUAAAAACGCAGGCGUCGUUGGCCUUUAAAGUGGUUUCGAGCUAGAGUCGUCUCGCUCCCCUCGCCACCCUCCCUCCCCGAUACAGCGAGGUUAGGGAACACCGGCGCCUUUAAUCCCAUUCUUUCCUGGGGCUCGAGGACUACUAGGGAGGAGCUCUGGAAGGUUGAUCUGACACCAUUAACAAAGCCGAGGACAGAGUGAAUGAAAUUCAGACAAAGAAAGAAAGCCAUGGGAGCAAGAAGGUGAAAUCAACAAAACCUGGAAGAGAAGGGGGAGACCAGCAGACGCCGCCACGUGCUUUGCCGUAUGACCAAGGAGCCACGAUCACCAGCAGCCAGUCCCAGAACGAGGGUCUUCAGGAAGAAGACAUCCCCUUGAUGAUGGCUUGAUUUGGACACUUUGCUGGCCUGGAAACCAUGAGCAAAUAAAUUCCCAUUGUAAGGUGCACAAUGCUGCUUCCAGAGGGUCUAUCAAACCUCCCUGUUCUAUUCCUCCACUCUUCGGGGAUUUAUUGACUACCUCCAGACAACGAUCCCUGAGCGAGGCCCGGUGGAAGGAUUCAACAAGAUGUAAGAGCUGAUCCAUGCCUUCCAAGACGGUAACUCUAGCUGGGAAGAGAAGACUGCUGAAGAGUUAUGUAAUCCUCAACUUGGGAGUUGACAGCACCAGGAGGAAAGAGAUGGUGGCAGAGUAGGAUGCUUCGGGGCUCUGUCCCCUCGCAGAAGCUUUGAACAACCAGUAAGAAGCGGCAGAAACAUCUUUCCCAAAGCUCAGAGAACAGUUACAGAGCUGCAGUAACAGAGGACCAGGGGAGACCAACCCUUCAGUGUCUUUUGAAAUACGAAGAAAAGCGUGUUCAGGAACCUGACUCCAGCGCUGGGGUCUUGGGCCCAGGGCUAUUCUAGGAGCUGGACUAGAGCUAAACCCACUUGCACCUGAAAUACAACAACCUGGAAAUUGCCAUAGCCACUGCAACCUUCAGCAACCACCACCCUGAUCAGUCAGCAGCCAUCAACACUGAAAUAGGACCUUCCACCAGCAAAAAGAUUAUGACUCACUGAAGGCUCAGAUGAUGGUUAGCAAUUUUUAGCAAUAAAGUAUUUUAAAAUUAAAGUAUGUAUAUAGUUUUUUAGACACAAUACUAUUGCAUACUUAAUAGACUACAUAACUUUUAUAUGCACUGGGAAACCAGAAAUUUUGCUUUAUUGCGGCAGUCUGGAACUGAAUCCUCAAUAUCUCUGACUGUACUGCCCUGUUUUUAAUUUUCCUCCACAGUGAAUGCUAGACAUUUCUGGGGCCAAAAAGAUGAACAUUUCUCAGCCUCGUAAACACACCCCUCUGGAUUCAGCACAGGGAGCAUGAACAUCCCAACAGCUUCCUGUGAUCAGCUUGAAUGGUCCGGGCUGCAAGCUUGGAAAUUAAAUUGUAGAAGUAGUUUCUUCCAUCCUGGAAGCUGUUUCAAUGACAGUUUCUUGCAGGUGAACCUCAGAUAAACGGCAAACAACAAGCCCUGGUGCUUAUGUCUCAAGUCUGAACAACGGGAAUCUUACCAUGACACCUGGAGGUCAAGGAUGAAUGCCACAAGCCUGCACCAAACACCUGUCCACAUCUGGGUAGAGUCUGAGCAACCUCAGGGGAGCCAGGCCUAGGUCCCAUCCGUAAAGUCCAAGGGGGAGGCUCAUUAACAGGUCAUGUGGAUAUAAUAAGCUAGGAUGGCGGCAAGCCCUGGUGCUGUGAAAGCAUUAGCUCAGCUUGGGUUGGCUUGGUGACAGCUGAGCUCAGUCUCCAAGAUUAAGUAACAGUCACCCAUGUGAAGAGAGGUGGGAGGGGCAUUUCGGGCAGAGGGAGCUCAUGGGUCAUUGUGGGUGUCAGUGAAGUGUUAGUGUGUGUUUUAAAACAUUGCCUUUUAUCCAAGUGCUGCUGCAUAAAAGGUUGCAGCCAGUGACUUGACUUUUUCAGGCUACUUCAGGGAGUGCUACCCUUCAGUUUAGAGGCCUUCAAAGGGACACAUUCCUCCCUCAAUGUCCCCAUGCUGUGCAGUGAGCUCAGCACAUACAUCAUCAUACACUAAGGAAACCAGGGCUGCUUGCUCCUGAAGGUUCUUGACCAACAUUUCCUCCUUCCAGGGCUCCCUCCUCUCAGGAGCUCUGCUGAUGACAUUAGAGGCUUAUUUACUGCCUUCCACGGGCAAGGCUGCACGUAGGAAAAAGGCACCCGGCUACAAGGGACCCAGCCUGGGUUUUCAUUCACUGUCAUAAUGGAACUUGGAACUGAAAGUUUGUGCUGCCCCUCUCAGUUUUGAAAAUGAAAAUGAAGGGAAGACUUAAAAAUAUUACUGCAUUUAUUUUUUAUGAUAACUAUAACACAGAUUCAAGUUU